Molecule: ribosomal RNA, 380 nt
Filed under: uncultured eukaryote
Lineage: Eukaryota
Description: partial 18S ribosomal RNA
Rfam family: Eukaryotic small subunit ribosomal RNA
Source: RNAcentral
CAAUAGCGUAUAUUAAAGUUGUUGCGGUUAAAAAGCUCGUAGUUGGAUUUCUGCUGAGAACGACCGGUCCGCCCUCUGGGUGUGUAUCUGGCUCUUUCUUGGCAUCUUCUUGGUGAACGUUGCUGCACUUGACUGUGUGGAGCGCUACCCAGGACUUUUACUUUGAGGAAAUUAGAGUGUUUCAAGCAGGCAUACGCCUUGAAUACAUUAGCAUGGAAUAAUAAGAUAGGACCUCGGUUCUAUUUUGUUGGUUUCUAGAGCUGAGGUAAUGAUUAAUAGGGAUAGUUGGGGGCAUUCGUAUUUAACUGUCAGAGGUAAAAUUCUUGGAUUUGUUAAAGACGGACUACUGCGAAAGCAUUUGCCAAGGAUGUUUUCAUUGA